Molecule: ribosomal RNA, 245 nt
Filed under: uncultured Eubacteriales bacterium
Lineage: Bacteria; Bacillati; Bacillota; Clostridia; Eubacteriales
Description: uncultured Clostridiales bacterium partial 16S ribosomal RNA
Rfam family: Bacterial small subunit ribosomal RNA
Source: RNAcentral
UACGUAGGGAGCAAGCGUUAUCCGGAAUUAUUGGGUGUAAAGGGUGCGUAGACGGGAUAACAAGUUAGUUGUGAAAUCCUCCGGCUCAACUGGAGAAUUGCAACUAAAACUAUUAUUCUUGAGUACAGGAGAGGAAAGUGGAAUUCCUAGUGUAGCGGUGAAAUGCGUAGAUAUUAGGAAGAACAUCGGUGGCGAAGGCGACUUUCUGGACUGCAACUGACGUUGAGGCACGAAAGUGUGGGGAG